UCUUUCGUAGUAUAGUGGUCAGUAUGUGAGCUUGUCAAUGCCCUCUGGAAAUGUUAUCGCUUGAGACCCGGGUUCAAUUCCCGGCGGGAGAG
Molecule: transfer RNA, 92 nt
Filed under: Immersiella caudata
Lineage: Eukaryota; Fungi; Ascomycota; Sordariomycetes; Sordariales; Lasiosphaeriaceae
Description: Cercophora caudata tRNA
Rfam family: tRNA
About the family: Transfer RNA (tRNA) molecules are approximately 80 nucleotides in length. Their secondary structure includes four short double-helical elements and three loops (D, anti-codon, and T loops).
Source: Rfam by way of RNAcentral